CUCACAUCUAUAUAAUGAUAUGGGAGUUGGUAGCGUUGAUCGAUCCCAAGCGCAGCAUCAUGUUCCCAUGCCCGAUCUGUGGGAUUUGCUUGGUAGCCGAGGUACCACUUUUGCCAAGAGAAAAAAUUGUUGCUGCAAAUGCCCCAAUCAACAUAAAGACAAUUGAAAUUUAAAAGCCUAGCUGAGAUAAGCAAAAGAGUACAUGAUCCUGACUAGGCACCUCCACCACCACAGCUCACUCCCAAAGUCAAGACUAACCUUAGUCGACAACUAUCUCAGAUCUAGGUGACUCAUGUGGAACUUGGUAGGUCAGUGAGCAGCAUGCAUACUAUGCUAUUGGAGAUGCAGUGGAUGCAGGUAGACAUGCAAAAUGAGCUACUAAAAGUGAGGGGCCAAAUACAUAGGUUCCAAUAAAGUGAUGAAGAGACGCGGAUGGAUCAAAGAACCAUCACGUAUUCUUACAAUCUGGCGCACAAGCAAAUACUACACUUUGGGAGUCGACUGGAGAGUAUUGACAGAAACGUUGCCCAGAUAGCAGAGGCCAUCGAGUCCUUAAGGCCCAUUACUUCUAUCAGCCAGCCAGACCACCAUAAUCCUUCCACUUAUCCAUACCUACCACAGGGAGUUUCUGAUCAUUUACUCUUUUAUUUUGAUUAUUUUUGCUUUUACAUUAAAGAUAAUUUAAUAUUUUUCAUUUAGAACGGGUUAAGUAGGAUACUUAGGAUAAAUAUUUGCUUUUCAACUAUUGAUAGACUGUUUGAUUUGAAGGAAAAAAUUG
RNAcentral lists this long non-coding RNA (778 nucleotides) under Olea europaea subsp. europaea. Lineage: Eukaryota; Viridiplantae; Streptophyta; Magnoliopsida; Lamiales; Oleaceae. The record is from RNAcentral.